GAAGAUUGACUCAGUUUCUUGUGUUGAUUGGUUCGAAAUGGUUAAUGAAGGAAGAUAAAGGUAGAUUUUGAAGGUUAAGGAGAAGUGUGAAGAAUGGUUUUUAUAUGAAAAGAAAGUGUGGUUUGUGGUGAGUUAUUUGUCUUUCUUUGCUGAUUUUUUCCUGUUUUGUGUUAUUAAUUUUUUGUUGUUUUGGUCACAGUUAUGGUUGUUAUUUAUUUGGAGGUAAUGGAGGUUGGAGUAAGAAAGUU
Molecule: long non-coding RNA, 248 nt
Filed under: Lathyrus oleraceus (garden pea)
Lineage: Eukaryota; Viridiplantae; Streptophyta; Magnoliopsida; Fabales; Fabaceae
Description: Pisum sativum (pea) long non-coding RNA (PSAT_LNC016190)
Source: RNAcentral